GCCUGAGUGGCUCAGUCGGUUGAGCGUCCGACUUCGUCUCAGGUCAUGAUCUCACAGUCUGUGGGUUCGAGCCCCGUGUCAGGCU
This 85-nucleotide transfer RNA is filed under the name Felis catus (domestic cat). It matches the Rfam family "tRNA". From Rfam's summary of the family: Transfer RNA (tRNA) molecules are approximately 80 nucleotides in length. Their secondary structure includes four short double-helical elements and three loops (D, anti-codon, and T loops). The record is from Rfam by way of RNAcentral. Lineage: Eukaryota; Metazoa; Chordata; Mammalia; Carnivora; Felidae.